This is a microRNA precursor of Oreochromis aureus, 61 nucleotides long. The record is from Ensembl. Lineage: Eukaryota; Metazoa; Chordata; Actinopteri; Cichliformes; Cichlidae.
AGAUGUGGUGAGCAGCCGAUGGAGAGAGUAGAAAUGCUCCUGGCAUCGCACCACUUUCUGU